UGGAGUAAACUGACAGAUAAGUAUAUGUGACACAUCACGCAUAUUUUGAUUUAAUCUAAAUAUAUAGACAUUUGAAUUAUUUAAUGAGUGGUGGAUUACGACAAGAAUUUCGAUGACAUUGAAUCUUGAUGAUAAAAUUAUUAUGUUAUGAUUAAAAAGUAUAUAUAGUGUUUCAAUCUGAAAGAUUGUCAAUAUGAUUGAAAUUACGGCAAAACUCGUUCGAGGCCCUGUGUAUUUUUCCGGAGAGAUUGUAGAAUGUUUGGUGACGUUUACUAAUCCUCCGAACCCAAAUCAUCAAAUAUCACAAAGUCACAGUGAUCUAUUCGAGAGCCUUGCAUGGGCGAGUGCACAAGUCCAUUGUCAAUGUACAACGAACAGCAAAAUGGUACUUUCAGAGAAAAUAAAUACUGCAGCUCGCUCAGUAGCAAUUAACGCAAAUACCACCUUUGCACCAUGGCAACAGGACAAUGGACAUGUAGUGCUGAAUACAAAGCCGAAAAUCUUAUGUUGUGAUUUAAGACUGUCACCUGGAGAAAGUAAGACUUAUAUUUAUCGUGAAACAAUACCAAGUGACGCUCCACCUUCAUACAGAGGACAAGCUGUAAAAUAUUCUUAUAAGAUUACAAUUGGAACACAAAGAGUGAAUACAGUUAUAAAAUUGUUACGAGUACCAUUCAGAGUACUUUCUUUAAGUGAAUUACCAGAGAUAACAGCAUGCAAUGAUAGUGUGGAUCUGAGUCCGAACAAUCCAUUUAUGGAAACACAACAUAGGGAAACUCCACUAGAUAUUGCUCUACAAACAUUGCAGAAUUUAACAGCCAGACGCAGUCCAAACUUUUACAAUGUGACAAACGGCCGCGGACGCGUAGUACGAUUUUGCCUCUUUAAGAAUUCCUACAAACUCGGUGAGGACAUUGUUGGAACCUUCGACUUUUCGAAUGCGACUGUAUCCUGCGUUCAGGUAUCCGUGUCUCUACAGUCAGAAGAGCACGUGUCGGAGGAGUACAAACGGGGGAAGAUCGCAACGCCGACAUUGAUCAGCUACAACAAGCAUCACGAAAUGUGUCUCGGUCUCAAGUAUUCACACCUGGUGCUACCGAUACCUUUGCACGUUACGCCAGAUUUUACUACCAAUUUGGUGACACUCAAGUGGCGAUUGCAUUUCGAGUUCGUCACAACGCCGAAACUGAUGGAUAUGCCCAAUGAGAAUACUAUAAGUUGGCAUGGACCGUCGACUCUGGAUGUCGAAACGAUGAUUUGGGAUCUUCCGUUGCACAUUCAUCCGACCACUACUCCACCGAAUAUGCCGCAACAGACGAAAUACAACACCAUCAUAUAGGAAUGCGACUGAACGAUGCGCAGUAUUUUCGAUUGCCUUUGCCGCACACGCGUAAGAAGAUGACGAUAAUACGUGUAAUGCCGCACAUCGUAGACAUGAAUUGCUCUUAUAUAAUUCAGAAUUCGACUACGAGUCCGAAUGCCGGACUUGAAAUAACGUCUCGAUGUCGCGGCAAGACUUUGGAAUCGAAACAGAGUUCUGUCGAAAUAGCGCUCGUGACAUGCAACGGCUUCGAAAGCAUUGAUCAAAUUAAGGAAGGACGUCAGGACAUUUGCAUAGAGACCGAAGCUAUCAAGGUUUCCAACAAUUCAUCGUUCUUAACGUGGCAAAAAGAUAGUCUAUCGAUGGUUCCGAACGAUUCCAAGAAAUUCGCAGAUUUUCCGCAAGUCGAAGAUGAUUGUCGGGAAAUCAUAUGGAAUUCGGAAGAAUUGCGAAACCAGGUGGAGCGC
This 1788-nucleotide unclassified non-coding RNA is filed under the name Acromyrmex echinatior (Panamanian leafcutter ant). Its description in RNAcentral is "rAB6A-GEF complex partner protein 2, transcript variant X2". The record is from RNAcentral. Lineage: Eukaryota; Metazoa; Arthropoda; Insecta; Hymenoptera; Formicidae.